This 253-nucleotide ribosomal RNA is filed under the name uncultured bacterium. Its description in RNAcentral is "partial 16S ribosomal RNA". It matches the Rfam family "Bacterial small subunit ribosomal RNA", at positions 524 to 776 of the family's 1533-position model. The record is from RNAcentral.
UACAGGGGGGGCAAGCGUUGUUCGGAAUUACUGGGCGUAAAGGGCUCGUAGGCGGCCGGCUAAGUCCGACGUGAAAUCCCCAGGCUUAACCUGGGAACUGCGUCGGAUACUGGCGGGCUUGAAUCCGGGAGAGGGAUGCGGAAUUCCAGGUGUAGCGGUGAAAUGCGUAGAUAUCUGGAGGAAUACCGGUGGCGAAGGCGGCAUCCUGGACCGAGAUUGACACUGAUGAGCGAAAGCUAGGGGAGCAAACGGG